AAGUCGUAACAAGGUUUCCGUAGGUAAGUUAUCGACUCCACUCCGCUAUUUCUUGAAGACACGUACUAACAUUCUAUGAAGGUGAACCUGCGGAAGGAUCAUUACCGAGUUAGGGUCCUCGUGGCCCGAUCUCCCAACCCUUAUGUUUAUCUACCACGUUGCUUCGGCGGGACCGUCUUUCGAGACCGCCGGAGGGCCGUCACACGCCCUCUGGCCCGUUGCCCGCCGGUGGCCAACCUUCAAAUUCUUUGUUCAACCAUGUUGUCUGAGUCUUAAAUUAUAAAAGCACAAAACUUUCAACAACGGAUCUCUUGGUUCUGGCAUCGAUGAAGAACGCAGCGAAAUGCGAUAAGUAAUGCGAAUUGCAGAAUUUCAGUGAGUCAUCGAAUCUUUGAACGCACAUUGCGCCCUUUGGUAUUCCGAAGGGCAUGCCUGUUCGAGCGUCAUUAUCACCCCUCAAGCCUGGCUUGUUGUUGGACCACGCCUGGAUCUGUUCCUGGCCGGCCCCAAAAGUAAUGACGGCGUCCGCGGGACCCUCAGUGCAACGAGCUUUUCACGAAGCACGCACCGAGUCGCAAGGUCUCUGUGGCACGGUCGACACCUUUUAAUUUUAAGGUUGACCUCGGAUCAGGUAGGAAUACCCGCUGAACUUAA
This 654-nucleotide ribosomal RNA is filed under the name uncultured fungus. RNAcentral describes it as "eukaryotic LSU rRNA". The stretch from base 292 to 446 matches the Rfam family "5.8S ribosomal RNA". Lineage: Eukaryota; Fungi. The record is from RNAcentral.